GACGAACGCUGGCGGCGUGCUUAACACAUGCAAGUCGAACGGAAAGGCCUCUUUCGGGGGGUACUCGAGUGGCGAACGGGUGAGUAACACGUGAGUAACUUGCCCUUGACUUUGGGAUAACUUCAGGAAACUGGGGCUAAUACCGGAUAGGAGCUCCUGCUGCAUGGUGGGGGUUGGAAAGUUUCGGCGGUUGGGGAUGGACUCGCGGCUUAUCAGCUUGUUGGUGGGGUAGUGGCUUACCAAGGCUUUGACGGGUAGCCGGCCUGAGAGGGUGACCGGCCACAUUGGGACUGAGAUACGGCCCAGACUCCUACGGGAGGCAGCAGUGGGGAAUAUUGCACAAUGGGUGGAAGCCUGAUGCAGCAACGCCGUGUGCGGGAUGACGGCCUUCGGGCUGUAAACCGCUUUCGCUCAUGACGAAGCUUUGUGUGACGGUAGUGGGUAAAGAAGCACCGGCUAACUACGUG
RNAcentral lists this ribosomal RNA (467 nucleotides) under uncultured bacterium. RNAcentral describes it as "partial 16S ribosomal RNA". It matches the Rfam family "Bacterial small subunit ribosomal RNA", at positions 28 to 507 of the family's 1533-position model. The record is from RNAcentral.